GACGAACGCUGGCGGCGUGCUUAACACAUGCAAGUCGAACGAUGAAACCUAGCUUGCUAGGUCGAUUAGUGGCGAACGGGUGAGUAACACGUGACUAACCUGCCCCUUUCUCUGGGAUAACGCCCCGAAAGGAGUGCUAAUACCGGAUACUCACAUCGAGGCACAUGCCUUGGUGUGGAAAGGUUUUCGGAAAGGGAUGGAGUCGCGGCCUAUCAGCUUGUUGGUGAGGUAACGGCUCACCAAGGCGACGACGGGUAGCCGGCCUGAGAGGGCGACCGGCCACACUGGGACUGAGACACGGCCCAGACUCCUACGGGAGGCAGCAGUGGGGAAUAUUGCACAAUGGGCGCAAGCCUGAUGCAGCGACGCCGCGUGAGGGAUGAAGGUCUUCGGAUUGUAAACCUCUUUCAGUAGGGACGAAGCGAAAGUGACGGUACCUAAAGAAGAAGCACCGGCUAACUACGUGCCAGCCGCCGCCGUAA
Molecule: ribosomal RNA, 482 nt
Filed under: uncultured bacterium
Lineage: Bacteria
Description: partial 16S ribosomal RNA
Rfam family: Bacterial small subunit ribosomal RNA
Source: RNAcentral